ACGAACGCUGGCGGCGUGCUUAACACAUGCCAGUCGCACGGAAAGGCCCUGCUUUUGUGGGGUGCUCGAGUGGCGAACGGGUGAGUAACACGUGAGUAACCUGCCCUUGACUUUGGGACAACUUCAGGAAACUGGGGCUAAUACCGGAUAGGAGCUCCUGCUGCAUGGUGGGGGUUGGAAAGUUUCGGCGGUUGGGGAUGGACUCGCGGCUUAUCAGCUUGUUGGUGGGGUAGUGGCUUACCAAGGCUUUGACGGGUAGCCGGCCUGAGAGGGUGACCGGCCACAUUGGGACUGAGAUACGGCCCAGACUCCUACGGGAGGCAGCAGUGGGGAAUAUUGCACAAUGGGCGGAAGCCUGAUGCAGCAACGCCGCGUGCGGGAUGACGGCCUUCGGGUUGUAAACCGCUUUCGCCUGUGACGAAGCGUGAGUGACGGUAAUGGGUAAAGAAGCACCGGCUAACUACGUG
RNAcentral lists this ribosomal RNA (467 nucleotides) under uncultured bacterium. RNAcentral describes it as "partial 16S ribosomal RNA". It matches the Rfam family "Bacterial small subunit ribosomal RNA", at positions 29 to 507 of the family's 1533-position model. The record is from RNAcentral.